UACGGGGGGUGCGAGCGUUGUCCGGAAUUACUGGGCGUAAAGCGCACGUAGGCGGCUUUCUAAGUCGGAGGUGAAAUCCUGGAGCUCAACUCCAGAACUGCCUUCGAUACUGGAGAGCUUGAGUCCGGGAGAGGUGAGUGGAACUGCGAGUGUAGAGGUGAAAUUCGUAGAUAUUCGCAAGAACACCAGUGGCGAAGGCGGCUCACUGGCCCGGUACUGACGCUGAGGUGCGAAAGCGUGGGGAGCAAACAGG
Molecule: ribosomal RNA, 253 nt
Filed under: uncultured bacterium
Lineage: Bacteria
Description: partial 16S ribosomal RNA
Rfam family: Bacterial small subunit ribosomal RNA
Source: RNAcentral